RNAcentral lists this ribosomal RNA (484 nucleotides) under uncultured Sphingobacteriales bacterium. RNAcentral's name for it is "bacterial SSU rRNA". It matches the Rfam family "Bacterial small subunit ribosomal RNA", at positions 898 to 1382 of the family's 1533-position model. Lineage: Bacteria; Pseudomonadati; Bacteroidota; Sphingobacteriia; Sphingobacteriales. The record is from RNAcentral.
AACUCAAAGGAAUUGACGGGGGCCCGCACAAGCGGAGGAGCAUGUGGUUUAAUUCGAUGAUACGCGAGGAACCUUACCUGGGCUCGAACGUAAGAUGACUGUAGGUGAAAGCUUACAUCUCUUCGGAGCAUUUUACGAGGUGCUGCAUGGUUGUCGUCAGCUCGUGCCGUGAGGUGUCGGGUUAAGUCCCAUAACGAGCGCAACCCCUACCUUUAGUUGCCAUCAGGUAAUGCUGGGGACUCUAAAGGAACUGCCUACGCAAGUAGUGAGGAAGGCGGGGAUGACGUCAAAUCAGCACGGCCCUUACGUCCAGGGCUACACACGUGUUACAAUGGCCAGUACAGAGGGCAGCCACCCCGCGAGGGGGCGCUAAUCCUAAAAGCUGGUCCCAGUUCGGAUCGGAGUCUGCAACCCGACUCCGUGAAGCUGGAUUCGCUAGUAAUCGCGCAUCAGCCACGGCGCGGUGAAUACGUUCCCGGGCCUU